Molecule: unclassified non-coding RNA, 350 nt
Filed under: uncultured Agaricomycetes
Lineage: Eukaryota; Fungi; Basidiomycota; Agaricomycetes
Description: sequence contains ITS1
Rfam family: 5.8S ribosomal RNA (bases 1-105)
Source: RNAcentral
GAAUUGCGAUAAGUAAUGUGAAUUGCAGAUCUCAGUGAAUCAUCGAAUCUUUGAACGCACCUUGCGCUCCUUGGUAUUCCGAGGAGCAUGCCCGUUUGAGUAUCGUGACGUCCUCGACCCGAUCGGUUUUUGUUCUACAGAGCCGGUCGCGUGUCGGAGUUGGGGGUUGUGCCGGGUCGCCUCGUUCGACUCGGCUCCCCUGAAAUGCAUGAGCGGAUAACCCUGUCGGUCCGAGAUGGGAUAAUAUUUUUGAUCAUCUCGAGUCUCUUUCAGGUCGGAUCUGCCCAACCGUGUUCAUUCACGCCUUUUGAAGUGAUCUCAAAUCGGGUAGGACUACCCGCUGAACUUAA